This 253-nucleotide ribosomal RNA is filed under the name uncultured bacterium. RNAcentral's name for it is "partial 16S ribosomal RNA". It matches the Rfam family "Bacterial small subunit ribosomal RNA", at positions 524 to 776 of the family's 1533-position model. The record is from RNAcentral.
UACAGAGGGUGCGAGCGUUGUUCGGAAUCCUUGGGCGUAAAGCGCUUGUAGGCGGCUUGUUAAGUCGCGUGUGAAAUCCCUUGGCUCAACCAAGGAAGUGCGCGCGAAACUGGCGAGCUCGAGUGCCGGAGAGGGUCGCGGAAUUCCCGGUGUAGAGGUGAAAUUCGUAGAUAUCGGGAAGAACACCCGUGGCGAAGGCGGCUCUCUGGGACGGUACUGACGCUGAGACGCGAAAGCGUGGGGAGCGAACAGG